Molecule: ribosomal RNA, 505 nt
Filed under: uncultured bacterium
Lineage: Bacteria
Description: partial 16S ribosomal RNA
Rfam family: Bacterial small subunit ribosomal RNA
Source: RNAcentral
GACGAACGCUGGCGGCGUGCCUAAUACAUGCAAGUAGAACGCACAGUUUAUACCGUAGCUUGCUACACCAUAGACUGUGAGUUGCGAACGGGUGAGUAACGCGUAGGUAACCUGCCUGGUAGCGGGGGAUAACUAUUGGAAACGAUAGCUAAUACCGCAUAAUAUUGAUUAUUGCAUGAUAAUUGAUUGAAAGAUGCUAUUGCAUCACUACCAGAUGGACCUGCGUUGUAUUAGCUAGUAGGGGAGGUAACGGCUCACCUAGGCGACGAUACAUAGCCGACCUGAGAGGGUGAUCUGCCACACUGGGACUGAGACACGGCCCAGACUCCUACGGGAGGCAGCAGUAGGGAAUCUUCGGCAAAGGACGAAAGUCUGACCGAGCAACGCCGCGUGAGUGAAGAAGGUUGUCGGAUCGUAAAGCUCUGUUGUAAGAGAAGAACGGGUGUGAGAGUGGAAAGUUCACACUGUGACGGUAUCUUAACAGAAAGGGACGGCUAACUACGUG